RNAcentral lists this small RNA (29 nucleotides) under Bombyx mori (domestic silkworm). RNAcentral describes it as "piRNA piR-bmo-1286323". Lineage: Eukaryota; Metazoa; Arthropoda; Insecta; Lepidoptera; Bombycidae. The record is from RNAcentral.
UUCUCGUGUCGUGCCGCUUUAUCGAAGUG